UACGGAAGGCAGCAGUGGGGAAUAUUGCACAAUGGGCGCAAGCCUGAUGCAGCCAUGCCGCGUGUAUGAAGAAGGCCUUCGGGUUGUAAAGUACUUUCAGUCGUGAGGAAGGUGUUAAGGUUAAUAACCUUAGCAAUUGACGUUAGCGACAGAAGAAGCACCGGCUAACUCCGUGCCAGCAGCCGCGGUAAUACGGAGGGUGCGAGCGUUAAUCGGAAUUACUGGGCGUAAAGGGCACGCAGGCGGUUAAUUAAGUUGGAUGUGAAAUCCCCGGGCUUAACCUGGGAAUGGCAUUCAAGACUGGUUAGCUAGAGUCUUGUAGAGGGGGUAGAAUUUUCAUGUGUAGCGGUGAAAUGCGUAGAGAUGUGGAGGAAUACCGGUGGCGAAGGCGGCCCCUGGACAAAGGACUGACGCUCAUGUGCGAAAGCGUGGGGAGCGAAACAGGGAUUAGAUACC
RNAcentral lists this ribosomal RNA (456 nucleotides) under uncultured bacterium. Its description in RNAcentral is "bacterial SSU rRNA". It matches the Rfam family "Bacterial small subunit ribosomal RNA", at positions 340 to 786 of the family's 1533-position model. The record is from RNAcentral.